GUCUCUUUGAUACAUAAUAAUAAGGAGUUGGGCCUGCUCGGUGAUAUUUUUAACAGCUGCGGUAUUAUAACUGUACUAAGGUAGCAUAAUAAUUUGCCUUAUAAAUUAGGGCUAGAAUGAAUGGUUUGACGAAAAUUAUACUGUCUCUACUUUAAUUAUUAGAAAUUAAUUUUUAUAGUGAAAAAGCUUGGAUGAUUUAAAGGGACGAGAAGACCCUAUUGAGCUUUAUGUUAAAAUAUAUAUAAUUAUAAAAUAUUAUUUGUUUUUUAUUUUUGGUUGGGGUGAUCAAGGAAUAAAAUUUUAAUAGUAUAAUUUCCUUAUUAAUAUUAUUUGUUAGAAUAAUAAACCAAAAAUUUUGCUUAAAUGAUAAGUUACCAUAGGGAUAACAGCGUAAUUUUUUUAGAGAGUUCAUAUUAAAAAAAAAGAUUGCGACCUCGAUGUUGGAUUAAAAUAACCAUUAGGUGUAGAAGCUUUAUUUGGUAAAUCUGUUCGAUUUUUAAAAUUUU
This 506-nucleotide ribosomal RNA is filed under the name Pareledone felix. RNAcentral describes it as "partial 16S ribosomal RNA". It matches the Rfam family "Bacterial large subunit ribosomal RNA", at positions 1817 to 2597 of the family's 2925-position model. The record is from RNAcentral. Lineage: Eukaryota; Metazoa; Mollusca; Cephalopoda; Octopoda; Octopodidae.